GGCCCUUCCCCGGGGAGCCUGCUGACUGGCUGAGAGGGAUGGGUAGCGCCAUCCGACCCGUCGAACCUGAACCGGCUCGUACCGGCGGAGGGAGUGGACCGCGCCGGAUC
RNAcentral lists this non-coding RNA (110 nucleotides) under Sphingobium sp. SYK-6. RNAcentral describes it as "TPP riboswitch aptamer (THI element)". It matches the Rfam family "TPP riboswitch aptamer (THI element)". From Rfam's summary of the family: Vitamin B(1) in its active form thiamin pyrophosphate (TPP) is an essential coenzyme that is synthesised by coupling of pyrimidine and thiazole moieties in bacteria. RNAcentral also lists the same sequence under 1 other name. Lineage: Bacteria; Pseudomonadati; Pseudomonadota; Alphaproteobacteria; Sphingomonadales; Sphingobiaceae. The record is from Rfam by way of RNAcentral.